UUCCCACCGCAAGGGUAAGACCCCAGAAAGACUAUCUGGUUGAUAGGGCGAAGGUGUAAGUGCAGCAAUGUAUUUAGCUUAUCGAUACUAAUAGGUCGAGGACUUGACCAAUAUUUAUU
RNAcentral lists this ribosomal RNA (119 nucleotides) under Clostridioides difficile. Its description in RNAcentral is "partial 23S ribosomal RNA". It matches the Rfam family "Bacterial large subunit ribosomal RNA", at positions 2811 to 2925 of the family's 2925-position model. Lineage: Bacteria; Bacillati; Bacillota; Clostridia; Peptostreptococcales; Peptostreptococcaceae. The record is from RNAcentral.